Sebastes umbrosus (honeycomb rockfish) is the source of this 134-nucleotide long non-coding RNA. RefSeq lists it as uncharacterized. NCBI's taxonomy places the organism in Eukaryota, Metazoa, Chordata, Actinopteri, Perciformes, Sebastidae. The record is from RefSeq and is a predicted model, not a curated record. The transcript is spliced from 3 exons.
CAUAAUUCAGGAAAUGAAUACCAUAAUGACGGAGGAAAAAGAGUAGUCAGUUGGGAAUAUCAACAUUUUCCUCAGACAUAUUAUAAAAUUACAAAGAAAAACUAAAAUUACAAUAUUUUCACUUAUUAUGUACC